GACGAGGGAUCCUAGCGUUGUUCGGAAUCAUUGGGCGUAAAGCGGGUGUAGGUGGCUAUAUAAGUCAGGUGUGAAAGCCCGGGGCUCAACCUCGGAAGUGCAUUUGAUACUGCAUAGCUUGAGUGCGGGAGAGGCUAUUAGAAUUCCAGGUGUAGUGGUGAAAUACGUAGAUAUCUGGAGGAAUACCGGAGGCGAAGGCGGAUGGCUGGCCCGACACUGACACUCAGACCCGAAAGCGUGGGGAUCAAACAGG
This 253-nucleotide ribosomal RNA is filed under the name uncultured prokaryote. Its description in RNAcentral is "partial 16S ribosomal RNA". It matches the Rfam family "Bacterial small subunit ribosomal RNA", at positions 524 to 776 of the family's 1533-position model. The record is from RNAcentral.